Molecule: ribosomal RNA, 253 nt
Filed under: uncultured bacterium
Lineage: Bacteria
Description: partial 16S ribosomal RNA
Rfam family: Bacterial small subunit ribosomal RNA
Source: RNAcentral
UACGAAGGGGGCUAGCGUUGCUCGGAAUCACUGGGCGUAAAGGGUGCGUAGGCGGGUCUUUAAGUCAGGGGUGAAAUCCUGGAGCUCAACUCCAGAACUGCCUUUGAUACUGAAGAUCUUGAGUUCGGGAGAGGUGAGUGGAACUGCGAGUGUAGAGGUGAAAUUCGUAGAUAUUCGCAAGAACACCAGUGGCGAAGGCGGCUCACUGGCCCGGUACUGACGCUGAGGUGCGAAAGCCAGGGGAGCAAACGGG